Molecule: ribosomal RNA, 253 nt
Filed under: uncultured bacterium
Lineage: Bacteria
Description: partial 16S ribosomal RNA
Rfam family: Bacterial small subunit ribosomal RNA
Source: RNAcentral
UACGGAGGGUGCAAGCGUUGUCCGGAUUCACUGGGUGUAAAGGGUGUGUAGGUGGAAUAGCAAGUCAGAGGUGAAAGCCUACAGCUUAACUGUAGAACUGCCUUUGAUACUGCUGUUCUUGAGUACUGGAGAAGCCGCUGGAAUUCGUGGUGUAGCGGUGAAAUGCGUAGAUAUCACGAGGAACACCUGAGGCGUAGGCGGGUGACUAAACAGAUACUGACACUGAGGCACGACAGCGUGGGGAGCAAACAGG